GGGUGCGAUCAUACCGGCACUAAUGCACCGGGUCCCAUCAGAACUCCGAAGUUAAACGUGCUUAGGUGAGAGUAGUACUAAGAUGGGCGACCUUUUAGGAAGUCCUUGUGUUGCACCCC
Molecule: ribosomal RNA, 119 nt
Filed under: Ricinus communis (castor bean)
Lineage: Eukaryota; Viridiplantae; Streptophyta; Magnoliopsida; Malpighiales; Euphorbiaceae
Source: RNAcentral